CGGACGGGUGAGUAACGCGUGAGUGACCUGCCCCGAGGUGGGGGACAACCGUGGGAAACCACGGCUAAUACCCCGUAGUCCUGUGCGUACUGGUUGCGUACAGGUAUAGCUCCGGCGCCUUGGGAGGGGCUCGCGGUCGAUUAGCUAGUUGGUGGGGUAACGGCCUACCAAGGCGACGAUCGAUAGCUGGUCUGAGAGGACGAUCAGCCACACUGGGACUGAGAUACGGCCCAGACCCCUACGGGGGGCAGCAGCAAGGAAUAUUGGACAAUGGGCGCAAGCCUGAUCCAGCAACGCCGCGUGGAGGAAGAAGGCUUCGGUUGUAAACUCCUUUUGUGAGGGAUGAGACAAGGACAGUACCUCACGAAUAAGUCACGGCUAACUAGGUGCCAGCAGCCGCGGUAACACCUAGGUGACAAGCGUUAUCCGGAUUUACUGGGCGUAAAGGGCUCGCAGACGGCAGCUCAAGUCCGGCGUGAAAUCUCCUGGCUUAACCAGGAGGGGUCGUCGGAUACUGUGCUGCUAGAGGCAGUGAGAGGGGUGCGGAAUUCUCGGUGGAGUGGUGGAAUACGUAGAUAUCGAGAGGAACACCAGUGGCGAAAGCGGCGCCCUGGCACUGACCUGACGUUCAUGAGCGAAAGCGUGGGGAGCGAAUGGGAUUAGAUACCCCAGUAGUC
RNAcentral lists this ribosomal RNA (677 nucleotides) under uncultured bacterium. RNAcentral describes it as "bacterial SSU rRNA". It matches the Rfam family "Bacterial small subunit ribosomal RNA", at positions 99 to 795 of the family's 1533-position model. The record is from RNAcentral.